Long non-coding RNA from Grammomys surdaster, 533 nucleotides. RefSeq lists it as uncharacterized. The record is from RefSeq and is a predicted model, not a curated record. Lineage: Eukaryota; Metazoa; Chordata; Mammalia; Rodentia; Muridae. The transcript is spliced from 3 exons.
ACAAAGGCAAGAAGGGCUUCUUUCUUCUGGUGGUUAGCAUGAACCUGGACUGGAGGUGACCUGGAGGAGUGACCACAGGAAGAGGUGGCCAUAAGAAGUAAGAACCUUCUUUCGCCAGUCUCUGCUGGAAUAUUCAUGGCUGAAAGUGGAACAGGAUUCAGGAUGAGAAGUGGUCCAGAGUGAGGACCAGAGCUGUUCAGAGAGGGCUCUAAGCCACUUCCCCAGUGGCUCUCGCCAAUUCUAUCGUUUAUGCGGUUGGUUACAAAGUGGCUGUCUGUGGUGAUGAGUACAGCUACCACUCACGAGGAUGCAGUCUUCUAAGCCUGGAAGGCCACCAAUUAAAAGUAUCGAUCAACUCCCAAAACUCAGAAGAAGCCCUGAACCCUGUAGAACCAAAUUUCAGCCACGAUUUAAUGGAUUCUGUAGCCGUAAACCAGCGCAUUCGUCUCAGUGUGCAAAUCGGCCUUUUGACUUCAACAACUGGUUCAUCAGAUCUACAGCAAAGAAUUACUUUUAAAUGAAUCCUUUUAGCC